Molecule: long non-coding RNA, 180 nt
Organism: Danio aesculapii
Lineage: Eukaryota; Metazoa; Chordata; Actinopteri; Cypriniformes; Danionidae
Exons: 3
Source: RefSeq, a predicted model, not a curated record
CAGCAGCCUCUGCCACAAUAAGCACUCCUUCAACUGAGACUCAAACAUCUACAACUCCUUCAACAUCUCCUGCCAGUAGUACAAGAGCUUCUGGAACUGAGUCUCAAACAACAGAACCUACAACACCCCCUGCCAGUACAAGAGCUUCUACAACUCAAUCUCAAACAGCAGCACCAACAA